RNAcentral lists this long non-coding RNA (2198 nucleotides) under Gossypium barbadense (sea-island cotton). Its description in RNAcentral is "long non-coding RNA (GBAR_LNC009737)". The record is from RNAcentral. Lineage: Eukaryota; Viridiplantae; Streptophyta; Magnoliopsida; Malvales; Malvaceae.
UGUUUUUGAAAACGCACCCUAAAGCUAUCCAAUUUCAACAUUUAAAAUAAGUAAUACCUAUCUUAGCAAUACAUAUUAAAACCAUCAAAAAUAAUUAAGCGGCCUUAUUACAUUUAAAAACCCAAAACUUCAAACGUAAAUAAAAGGAUGUCCAGUUCACCAGAAGAAAAUCAAACUUCCAGAACGGGUGGCCACUUCGAAUUCCCUCACAGCUCCAAGCCCACUAUGGUUGGGGAUUUCCUGCGUGGAUGAAAAUAAAAGGGGUGAGUUUGGGGAAACUCAGUGUGUAAGGAAAACCCAUUCAAAGCCCAAGUCAGCUCAAGCUUAUUGGGCCUAAGCCCAUUCAGGUAACAGUGGUACUAGGCCAGAGCCCUUUUCAGAUUACAAUAAACUGGGCCUUAGCCCAUUAUUCAGAUAACAGUAUGGCCCAUAGGCCCAUUUCAAAGUACAUGCAACAUCAAUAAACAUAUGCAAGCCCAUUUGGGGAGACUACUCAACCCACCAACCACUACACUCCACCCGUACCAGCCAUACACUCCAUGUGGGGAAUAGCUCAACCCACCCAGCCCAACACUCCACGGCUGCAGCCUUGCUGCUCAGUUAACAGUAAAUUGAGGCAAAGCCUCCAGUAUGUGGACAAGCCACUUUCAGUACUUCCUCCGUCAAUAUCCCAAUCCCAUGCAUCAGAUAAUAACAACAUGGCAUGCAGUAAAUAACAAUAGUCAAACAUGCAUUUAGGUCAAUUUAACCCUAGGGGUAUUUUGGUAAUUUAUCUACUAAGGGUAAAAUUGUAAAUUUUCCACUUUUAAAGGUAUUUCAGUAAUUUAUCUAUUUUAGGGUUUUUCAUGCAUAUUCCUACUUUUCACGUACUAAUAGAAUCAUGUACCGAGGGUUCUUACCGAAUUGGGCCCGUUGGCCCAUCAUUCCAAUUUUGGCCCAUUAAGCCCAAAAAUAUCGAGGGCACAAAAAUCAUGCACUUUGCAGUCCAAAUUUUGCAACUUACCAAAAACAUUAAUCGAUUUACCUCACGAGCAUUCGCACACUCGCAAAUCUACAAAAUAUCAGUUUUCGGCAUUUCGGCUUUUCGACUUUUGCCGAUCCAGACUAAGAAAGAGGGUGUUAGUUACACACCUGUUUGCGACGAUAUGCUGACGAGAUCCACACACGAACCGCCUACAAUUGGAUUAUUAACACGUUAAUCUAACUAUUCAAAUACAAACUACGUAUUAACCCCUUACAAUAUUCGGCCAACCACACCUACAGAUCAUAGUAAGCUUAUAAGAAAUCAAUAAGCAACUCAUUAACAAAUUUUUGUCAAUGUUUACCACAUAAUCAUAAUUUCACUGCAAGCUGUCUUCCUGAGCAACAGUCACUAAAUCAUUUAUAAUUGGAGUUACGAAACUCCAAAUCAAGUGCCGUUAAUUUUCCCUGAAAAUAGACUCAUAUAUAUUCUAUCCAUAAAAUUUUCAGAAUUUUUGGUUUGGCCAAUCAAUACCAGAUUUUUCUUAAAGUUUCCCAUGUUUCACUGUUUGACUAAUCUGACCACUCUUCAUUACGAAUCAAAUUUCUCAUUGUACAGAAUUCAAAAUAUGUUCCCGUUUAUUCCAUUUGAAACUAGACUCAUUAAGCUUUAAUUACAUAAUUUAUGCAGCUUCUAACUCCUCUUCCACAAUUUAUGGUGAUUUUCCAAAGUCACGUUACUGCUGCUGUCUCAAGCAGAUUUAUUACCAAAUCACUCUUUCACACCUAACUUGCAUGCUUGUUAUUUAAACAUGUAUAUCACCAAUCAAUCAUCACAUAUCUAUGAUUUUACUUAAGUAUAAUCUCCAUUUCAUCAUUUUAAAGCACAACAUGUUAGCCGAUUUUUCCCCUUAGCAUCUAAGGCACAUGCAUGCUCAGUUGUUUGGCUCAACUUCACCUAUCUUCCAUUUUUCAUCAAAAGAACAUGAAACAACAACCAUUUCCUUCAUUUUAAUUCAUGACUAAAUGCUCACAACACAACUAAAAACCAAAAUAUGCUUCAAGAGUUAAGGUAGAAUCAAGAAGAACUCAUGAACAUCAAGAUAGAAGCAAACUACCAUGAACUUACCUUCAAUUUUUUUCCCCAAGUGACCAAACAUUUAAGAGCUUUCUCCUCUCCUUUGUCUUCUCUAACUUUAGGCUAUGAUGAACAAAGAUGGACAAAACUUUGUUCUUUU